RNAcentral lists this long non-coding RNA (679 nucleotides) under Polistes fuscatus (common paper wasp). Its description in RNAcentral is "uncharacterized LOC122524308". Lineage: Eukaryota; Metazoa; Arthropoda; Insecta; Hymenoptera; Vespidae. The record is from RNAcentral.
GAGAGAUAGAGAAAGAAACAAAGAGAAGGAACCUCGACAAUCGACGCUACAUACGGCAUGCAUCUUCGUUUCUACCGGAUCGCUAACGAGAGGGGAGAGCUGUUAAAAAGAAGAAAAAAACGACUCGAGUCAUCGCAGGAAAAGGAAUUAAUUUGAAUCUGGCGACUCGUAACGUUUUGCUAGUGGGAGAUAGAGGAAACUCGUCAUCGGAGAUAGGAGCAAAGACGACUGUCUUCUACUCCGUCUCCCUGUCUCUAAUCGGAGAUUGGCCUCGGAUCUCGUGCUCCUUCGCUCGAGUUACGUCGAAUACUUCCGAGAUAAGCUCGUUACUUAACCCUUCUCUCUUCCUCGGAGUCAUCUCUAUAAACCUUGGAUCGAAUUAAACGCGCUGCGACGACUCUCGGCUAGAAACUAAUAUGCGCCAUUUCGUAUGAUCCUAGGACGGAGAUCAUUUCGCCGAGGUUUCUACCAAUUGUUCGUCUCGUAAAGAAUAAGUGACUCGAGUGAAAAGUAUUUUUUCUAUUCGAAUGCAUCAAAGUUACGCUAUCGCGCGACGCACAUGCCCGAAGCAAAUAGACGGUACACAGCCUGGCAAGUUUCACUUUAGAAAUCCUGCGCGAUUAUUAGUUGAACAAGUAGUUGCCAGCUCUCCGAGCGGGAUUUCGAGGAAAGCGAAUGA